CAAGUCGAACGCAGUAGCAAUACUGAGUGGCAGACGGGUGAGUAACAUGUGGGAAUCUGCCUUGUGGUUCAGGACAACAUUGGGAAACCGAUGCUAAUACUGGAUAAGCCCUUACGGGGAAAGUUUUAAUGCCAUAAGAUGAGCCCGCAUUUGAUUAGUUAGUUGGUGAGGUAAUGGCUCACCAAGACAAUGAUCAAUAGCUGAUCUGAGAGGAUGAUCAGCCACACUGGGACUGAGACACGGCCCAGACUCCUACGGGAGGCAGCAGUGGGGAAUCUCGCACAAUGGAGGAAACUCUGAUGCAGCGAUGCCGCGUGAGUGAAGAAGGCCUUUGGGUUGUAAAGCUCUUUUGUAGGGGAAGAUAAUGACUGUACCCUAAGAAUAAGGUCCGGCUAACUUCGUGCCAGCAGCCGCGGUAAUACGAAGGGACCUAGCGUAGUUCGGAAUUACUGGGCGUAAAGCGCGCGUAGGCCGUUGAGUUAGUUAAUUGUGAAAUCCCAAAGCUUAACUUUGGAACUGCAAUUAAAACUGCUCGACUAGAGUUUGAUAGAGGAAAGCGGAAUACAUAGUGUAGAGGUGAAAUUCGUAGAUAUUAUGUAGAACACCAGUUGCGAAGGCGGCUUUCUGGAUCAACACUGACGCUGAGGCGCGAAAGUAUGGGUAGCAAAGAGGAUUAGAUACCCUCGUAGUCCAUACCAUAAACGAUGAUUGCUAGAUGUUGGAAAUUUAUUUUCAGUAUCGCAGCUAACGCAUUAAGCAAUCCGCCUGGGGAGUACGACCGCAAGGUUAAAACUCAAAUGAAUUGACGG
RNAcentral lists this ribosomal RNA (809 nucleotides) under uncultured bacterium. RNAcentral describes it as "bacterial SSU rRNA". It matches the Rfam family "Bacterial small subunit ribosomal RNA", at positions 58 to 916 of the family's 1533-position model. The record is from RNAcentral.